This 326-nucleotide long non-coding RNA is filed under the name Medicago truncatula (barrel medic). RNAcentral describes it as "long non-coding RNA (MTRU_LNC000605)". Lineage: Eukaryota; Viridiplantae; Streptophyta; Magnoliopsida; Fabales; Fabaceae. The record is from RNAcentral.
UUUAUUUUCGGAUUCAAAUCCAAAAAUCAACAAACAGAAUCAAGUUCAAGUGUUUCCGAAGAUCUUCGCUCAAAAUCUCCAAUUGAAACCGCAGGUAAACACGUAAAACUCCACUUUCUUUCUCAAAAAAUAUCAACAAACACGAAUCAGUUAUAGAUCUGCAAAGUUCCAAAGCUUUCAUUCAACAAAACACUAAAAAGAAUCAAGAAAAAUCUUUUUCAAAACCGUGAACAAAAGUGUAGAUCUACAACGAUUCAAACCUUGCAUGAAAAAACCAGUACCGGAUUCGUGUUUAGAACGAAAAAGGAUUUCCAAAAGUGUAAAAA